Diprion similis is the source of this 478-nucleotide long non-coding RNA. RefSeq lists it as uncharacterized. NCBI's taxonomy places the organism in Eukaryota, Metazoa, Arthropoda, Insecta, Hymenoptera, Diprionidae. The transcript is spliced from 2 exons. The record is from RefSeq and is a predicted model, not a curated record.
CAUACAACUAGCAAAGCAGACUUUUUCCUGUAAAAAUAGUAGACAUCUUGACCAUAGGAAUAAUUUUUUGCAGAUAAUGUUCUUUCCAUGAUUUAUCUUGCACAUUGGUAUAAAAUUCUAUUUUUAGCAUAUCGUGGACGUUUAAAUUGUGAAAUCUCUUGUUAGAAUAAGAAUAUAAUAUUCGAUGACGUCACUCUAAGUAUUCACAGACUGUGAGUAAUAUAAACAUAAGCUGUACAGAGUAGAAUGCUGAGUGCAAAUGUUCACUCUAAUUCGUCAUUGCAUCUACAUAGAAAUUCUAAACAUGAAAAAUUUAUUCUCAAAGAAAAUUAUUUAUCUUCAACUUAUUAGCUAUUGUGUAUAAACUCAAAAAUGUAUAAUUAUAUCAUACUUACAGGCAUACGCUCAGAACUAUCUCCAAUAGGGAAGUUGAGUACCGAUCUGAGUGUUUGAGCACCAUAAUAUUUAUCAUUUGGAA